AAGUGGGGAUGACGUCAAGUCAUCACGGCCCUUACGGCCUGGGCUACACACGUGCUACAAUGGUCGGUACAAAGGGUUGCCAAGCCGCGAGGUGGAGCUAAUCCCAUAAAACCGAUCGUAGUCCGGAUCGCAGUCUGCAACUCGACUGCGUGAAGUCGGAAUCGCUAGUAAUCGUGAAUCAGAAUGUCACGGUGAAUACGUUCCCGGGCCUU
This 212-nucleotide ribosomal RNA is filed under the name uncultured Pseudomonas sp. RNAcentral's name for it is "partial 16S ribosomal RNA". It matches the Rfam family "Bacterial small subunit ribosomal RNA", at positions 1171 to 1382 of the family's 1533-position model. Lineage: Bacteria; Pseudomonadati; Pseudomonadota; Gammaproteobacteria; Pseudomonadales; Pseudomonadaceae. The record is from RNAcentral.